This 1296-nucleotide ribosomal RNA is filed under the name uncultured organism. RNAcentral's name for it is "bacterial SSU rRNA". It matches the Rfam family "Bacterial small subunit ribosomal RNA", at positions 202 to 1470 of the family's 1533-position model. The record is from RNAcentral.
CAAAGAUGGCCUCUGUUUCAAGCAAUUGCUUCAGGAUGAGUCUGCGUCCUAUUAGCUAGUUGGUAAGGUAAGAGCUUACCAAGGCGAUGAUAGGUAGGCGGCCUUAACGGGUGGUCGCCCACACUGGGAUUGAGAUACGGCCCAGACUCCUACGGGAGGCAGCAGUCGAGAAUAGUCUACAAUGGACGAAAGUCUGAUAGUGCGACGCCGCGUGAAUGAUGAAGCAUUUCGGUGUGUAAAAUUCUUUUCUGUAUGAGCAGAGGUAUAUAUUUUAAGAGAUAAUAUACUUUGAUAUUAGUACAGGAAUAAGCCACGGCUAACUCCGUGCCAGCAGCCGCGGUAACACGGGGGUGGCGAGCGUUGUCCGGAAUUACUAGGCGUAAAGGGUAAGUAGGCUGAUACAUAAGUCAGAUGUCAAAGAUAUUGGCUUAACCAGUAAUAUGCGUUUGAUACUGUGUAUCUAGAGUAAGGUGAGGGAAGGCGGAAUUCCUGGUGUAGCGGUGGAAUGCGCAGAUAUCAGGAAGAACACCGGUGGCGUAGGCGGUCUUCUUUACCAUUACUGACGCUCAAUUACGAAGGUGUGGGUAUCAAACAGGAUUAGAUACCCUGGUAGUCCACACAGUAAACGAUAUGCACUAGAUGUUGGGAGAGAUGCAUCUUUCAGUGUCGUAGUUAACGCGUUAAGUGCAUCGCCUGGGGAGUACGAUCGCAAGGUUAAAACUCAAAGGAAUUGACGGGGCCCCGCACAAGCGGUGGAGCAUGUGGUUUAAUUCGAUGCAACGCGAAGAACCUUACCUGGGCUUGACAUCCCACAGAGCUUACAGAGAUGUGAGUUUGCCCUUUCGGGGGAAUGUGGAGACAGGUGCUGCAUGGCUGUCGUCAGCUCGUGUCGUGAGAUGUUGGGUUAAGUCCCGCAACGAGCGCAACCCCUAUCUUUAGUUACUAACGAUUAAAGUUGAGGACUCUAGAGAGACUGCCAGUGUAAUAAACUGGAGGAAGGUGGGGACGACGUCAAGUCAUCAUGGCCCUUAUGUCCAGGGCUACACACGUGCUACAAUGGUCGGUACAGAGGGAAGCUAAGCAGUGAUGUGUCGCUAAUCUCCGAAAUCCGAUCUCAGUUCGGAUUGGAGUCUGCAACUCGACUCCAUGAAGUUGGAAUCGCUAGUAAUCGCGUGUCAGCGUAACGCGGUGAUACGUUCCCGGGGCUUGUACACACCGCCCGUCAAGUCAGCCGAGUUAAUUGCACCCGAAGGAGGUGAGCUAACCGUAAGGGAGCAGCUUUCGAAGGUGUGAUUG